RNAcentral lists this transfer RNA (67 nucleotides) under Rondotia menciana. RNAcentral describes it as "tRNA-Trp". Lineage: Eukaryota; Metazoa; Arthropoda; Insecta; Lepidoptera; Bombycidae. The record is from RNAcentral.
AAGGUUUUAAGUUAAGUAAACUAAUAAUCUUCAAAAUUAUAUAUAAAGAAACUAUCUUUAAGCCUUA